RNAcentral lists this ribosomal RNA (768 nucleotides) under uncultured bacterium. Its description in RNAcentral is "bacterial SSU rRNA". It matches the Rfam family "Bacterial small subunit ribosomal RNA", at positions 28 to 776 of the family's 1533-position model. The record is from RNAcentral.
GACGAACGCUGGCGGCGUGCCUAAUACAUGCAAGUCGAGCGAAGUUUUUCUGGUGCUUGCACUAGAAAAACUUAGCGGCGAACGGGUGAGUAACACGUAAAGAACCUGCCUCAUAGACUGGGACAACUAUUGGAAACGAUAGCUAAUACCGGAUAACAGCAUUAACUACAUGGUUGAUGUUUGAAAGUUGGUUUUGCUAACACUAUGAGAUGGCUUUGCGGUGCAUUAGCUAGUUGGUGGGGUAAAGGCCUACCAAGGCGACGAUGCAUAGCCGACCUGAGAGGGUGAUCGGCCACACUGGGACUGAGACACGGCCCAGACUCCUACGGGAGGCAGCAGUAGGGAAUCUUCCGCAAUGGGCGAAAGCCUGACGGAGCAACGCCGCGUGAGUGAAGAAGGAUUUCGGUUCGUAAAGCUCUGUUGUUAGGGAAGAAUGGAUAUGUAGUAACUAUACAUGUACGAGACGGUACCUAACCAGAAAGCCACGGCUAACUACGUGCCAGCAGCCGCGGUAAUACGUAGGUGGCAAGCGUUGUCCGGAAUUAUUGGGCGUAAAGCGCGCGCAGGUGGUUUAAUAAGUCUGAUGUGAAAGCCCACGGCUCAACCGUGGAGGGUCAUUGGAAACUGUUAAACUUGAGUGCAGGAGAGAAAAGUGGAAUUCCUAGUGUAGCGGUGAAAUGCGUAGAGAUUAGGAGGAACACCAGUGGCGAAGGCGGCUUUUUGGCCUGUAACUGACACUGAGGCGCGAAAGCGUGGGGAGCAAACAGG